Long non-coding RNA from Ananas comosus (pineapple), 928 nucleotides. RefSeq lists it as uncharacterized. The record is from RefSeq and is a predicted model, not a curated record. NCBI's taxonomy places the organism in Eukaryota, Viridiplantae, Streptophyta, Magnoliopsida, Poales, Bromeliaceae. The transcript has 2 exons.
AUAUAUCUCUCAUUACUCUCCCAUUACUCUCACAGCCAACUCCCACUCCUACUCCCAAAUAAAAAAAAAAAUCACUCUCCUCUCCUCUCUUCUUCAUCUAAUCACUCUCCUCUCCUCCCCUCUCUUCUUCAUCUCUCUCCCUUUUUCCUCUCCGGCGACGCCUUUUCUACCGGCAAAUUUCUUCUCCGGCGAACCUCCAAGGUUUCUAAAAUCACUUCAGUACAAUUACUUUUCUAUCAGACUCAGCCAAACGCUCUACAGCUUUUAACAAAAAUCACUUUUCUAAACCAAAAUUACUUUUUUAGAAAUCACUUUUUCAAUAGUUAGGCUAAACAGGCCCUAAGAUUGGCACGGGCGUGCGGGGUGCAUGAAAUGAACUUACACGUACACCGCGCGCGGUGGCAAUAAUUUCUCCGCACCACAAAUGAACAGAGACAUGUGCAGCAUGUGACGCUGUGGAAACUUCGGCUUGCAGUUAUCCGAUCACAUCGUCGUCGUCACGCCGAGACGAUAAGUUUCCGCGUGCUCGCCUUAAGCUAAGCCCGAAAACGUGCUGGCGUACGUUACAUGACUCGCGCGCACCCCUAUCCACUACGGAAGAAAUUCAAGGCACCCACGUGGUAGAAAAAAGAAUAUCUCGACGUAACCUUCCACCUCUAGCUAGCUCUGUCGGCAAAGAUAUCACGUCUUCACCGCUACAGCUUCACGCAGAUAAGAAUGGAUGAUAUAAAGUUCAUCGUCUUCAUCGACAAAUUAAUAUGCAUGUGUGUUAUCCAAGAGAAAUAGCAGAACAUUUGUACGUACGAGGAGAAAGACAUUCGCUUGCAUAAAAAAUUUCUGCUUAUAGAACAAUUUGAUUAUUAUCUAUUUAUAUCAGGAUACUUUUGAAAUUCUCAACAAUUAGAACUCGCCGUAGCUCCCAAAUUAA